UACGUAGGUGGCAAGCGUUGUCCGGAUUUACUGGGCGUAAAGAGCGCGCAGGCGGUCGGAUAAGUCGAAUGUGAAAGCCCCCGGCUUAACUGGGGAGGGUCAUUCGAUACUGUUCGACUGGAAGGCAGGAGAGGGAAGCGGAAUUCCCGGUGUAGUGGUGAAAUGCGUAGAUAUCGGGAGGAACACCAGUGGCGAAGGCGGCUUCCUGGCCUGUUCUUGACGCUGAGGCGCGAAAACUAGGGGAGCAAACGGG
RNAcentral lists this ribosomal RNA (253 nucleotides) under uncultured bacterium. Its description in RNAcentral is "partial 16S ribosomal RNA". It matches the Rfam family "Bacterial small subunit ribosomal RNA", at positions 524 to 776 of the family's 1533-position model. The record is from RNAcentral.